AUUGGCAUGUUGAAGAUUGAAGUCCUCUGUUUAUCCACAGAGCAGGUUCAGCGCAAGCAAUGGCAGUGUAAAUUACACCAAACUGAACUGCCAAUGUGCCUUUAUGCUAAAUUGGCCAUCUCCUAGGAGUUAAAGGGCAGUUCAGUCCUAAUACUCCUUGAAUCCUUGGCCUUU
Molecule: small RNA, 174 nt
Filed under: Crocodylus porosus (Australian saltwater crocodile)
Lineage: Eukaryota; Metazoa; Chordata; Crocodylia; Crocodylidae
Description: TUC338 (ENSCPRG00005008396.1)
Source: RNAcentral